UAGAGCGGCGGACGGGUGAGUAACACGUGGACAAUCUGCCCCCCGGCCCGGGAUAGCCCAGGGAAACCUGGAUUAAUACCGGAUGAGACGGGACCCGCGAAGGCGGGACCCGGGAAAGGCGCUGCGGCGCCGCCGGGGGAUGAGUCUGCGUCCCAUUAGCUAGACGGCGGGGUAACGGCCCACCGUGGCGACGAUGGGUAGCCGGCCUGAGAGGGUGGACGGCCACAUUGGAACUGAGACACGGUCCAGACUCCUACGGGAGGCAGCAGCUAAGAAUCUUCCGCAAGUGGGACGAAAGCCUGACGGAGCGAACCGCCGCGUGAACGAAGAAGGCCGUGAGGUUAGUAAAGUUUCGUUUCGGGAGGGGGAACAACCGUGGCAGGGAAUGGCCGCGGGAUGACGUGAAUCCCGGAAUAAGCCCCGGCUAACUACGUGCCAGCCGCUGC
RNAcentral lists this ribosomal RNA (446 nucleotides) under uncultured bacterium. Its description in RNAcentral is "bacterial SSU rRNA". It matches the Rfam family "Bacterial small subunit ribosomal RNA", at positions 91 to 518 of the family's 1533-position model. The record is from RNAcentral.